This 82-nucleotide transfer RNA is filed under the name Pseudomonas sp. StFLB209. It matches the Rfam family "tRNA". Rfam says of the family: Transfer RNA (tRNA) molecules are approximately 80 nucleotides in length. The record is from Rfam by way of RNAcentral. Lineage: Bacteria; Pseudomonadati; Pseudomonadota; Gammaproteobacteria; Pseudomonadales; Pseudomonadaceae.
GCGGAAGUGGCGAAAUUGGUAGACGCACUGGAUUUAGGUUCCAGCGCCGCAAGGUGUAAGAGUUCGAGUCUCUUCUUCCGCA